Molecule: non-coding RNA, 471 nt
Filed under: Schistosoma margrebowiei
Lineage: Eukaryota; Metazoa; Platyhelminthes; Trematoda; Strigeidida; Schistosomatidae
Description: Eukaryotic small subunit ribosomal RNA
Rfam family: Eukaryotic small subunit ribosomal RNA
Source: Rfam by way of RNAcentral
CUAUCUCAUGGUUUAACUGCAUUGAUUGUCUUGAACCUGGUCAUGAACAACCCUGUUACCGUUGAAUAUAUGCGAACGUUUUUAACGAUCACAACAAACGCGCAUGGCCGUUUUUAGUCGGUGGAGAGACAUGUCUGGUUAGUUCCGAUAACGAACAAGAAUUUUAGCCUGAUAAAUAUUAGACUGGUCCUCUGUGCUCGUUUAAGGCGUGGCUUCCAUUGCUUUUUAUGGAAUAGUAUGGUCGUGAGCCGGCGGGUGCGGUACCAAUUUUUACUUCUUAGAGGGACAAGCGUCAUGUUUAAGUGGCACGAAAUUGGGCAAUAACGGGUCUGUGAUGCCCUUAGAUGUCUGGGGACACACGUGCGCUACAAUGACGGUGCCAACGAGUCUGGACACCUGGCCGAAAGGGUUGGGCAAACUGUUUCAUCAAGUUCGUAACUGGGGUUUGUAAUUAAUCCCCGUGAAUGAGGA